Musa acuminata AAA Group (dessert banana) is the source of this 4655-nucleotide long non-coding RNA. RefSeq lists it as uncharacterized. NCBI's taxonomy places the organism in Eukaryota, Viridiplantae, Streptophyta, Magnoliopsida, Zingiberales, Musaceae. The record is from RefSeq and is a predicted model, not a curated record. The transcript is spliced from 3 exons.
CAUAUCAAAGUUCAUAAAAAAAAAUAAAAGAAGACAAAAUUAAACAAUUAAUUAAAAAAAAAGAUAAAGGAAGAGGAAGAAGCUCUUGCACUAUUGCAGUUUAUAUAUAUUUUUAUAUAUCCAUCGUCGCGUGGGAAGGGCAAGGAGAAAAGGGAGAGGCAAGCCAUCGUCGAUUCCGGCGGCUUCUUCGCCGUGGCGCCGAGGAACAUAGGAAAAAGGUGAAUCCAUAGGAUAAGGGCAGCGAGAAGCGGCGAUUUUGGCUUGGGGUACUCUUCCGAGGGACAGACAUCCGUCAGGGUCGUCAAGGAGCUCGAGAUGGAGAAGGGCGCUGAUCCUUUCCAAGGCAACACCGCCUUGGCCGCCGUCGUUGUCAUCACGCCUGUCUGGCUUGUACGAACAGUGCAGUCCUUUUUCCAGAAUGAAGCAGGUUUAUUAAGUUUGCUGGUGGCAGACAGAUCUUACAUAUAUGACUUCUAAAGGCUCCCGGUAGUGACUGAACUUUUCUAUAUGCAAAUUAUUAUGCUAUAGGGAAAUCCAUCAGCAUGGCAAAGUUCUACAUUUCAAGAAAAUUUCAAAAACUUCAUUUCCAUCAGACUAGCCGCUAGAGCAUAGUUUAUCGGUCUGGUUUCAAGUGGCUCACGGUCUUUUUCUCAUCAUGUUCCAGAAUUGGCUGUGGGCAAGAUGUAUCCUCAUGAGGAUGGGAUGUAUCCUCCCAAAUAUUUGCAUCAUCCAUCAAAGAUUGGAGUGUUAAAUGUUACUGCUGGUUUGGAUUUUCAUGCAGAGUUAAACGAUCCAGCUUACGUUUUGAUAUAGGAUAAGUUUUGCUGCUUUAAGUGUAAAGAAUUCAUCCAGUUGUCCCAAGAAAUAUUGAGCAUAUUAUGGAAUACUUCAGGAACUGGUUUGCCAAAGAUUGGAGUGUUAAAUGUUACUGCUGGUUUGGAUUUUCAUGCAGAGUUAAACGAUCCAGCUUACGUUUUGAUAUAGGAUAAGCUUUGCUGCUUUAAGUGUAAAGAAUUCAUCCAGUUGUCCCAAGAAAUAUUGAGCAUAUUAUGGAAUACUUCAGGAAAUGGUUUGCCAAAAGAUAAAUUUCUUCUGAGGAUGGUGAGGUUGGGUAGGGAUUCAGAUAGUGUUUCUAUUGAUCAAGAUAGCCCUGAUGAUGUUGUGGGAUGAUAGUAGCAUUUAUGUAUCUAAGACUUGGUGAAGCAGAAUAUGAUAUGAAAGUUCCUUGUGGUUUCUAUGAUAAGGCCAGCAAUGUGCACUUUUCAUGUCCUCAACAUUCAAAUGAAUGUCAUCUGAAGAACUGAUUUCUGUGAUUUACCAUUGUCAAUAUUCCUUGUGGUUAUUUUUAGAUGGUCAAGUGUGUGCAUUUAUCACGUCUUCUAGAUCCAAAUGAACAUCAACUAGAGAACUGUUUUCUGUGAUUUACUGUUGGUUAGUUUACAUGUUUUCUACUGAAUAAUAUGUGGGAAAUCAGUUUAUAUAUUUAUUGGGAAGUACAAACUUAAACCUGUGGAUCAGAUUUUGUGGAUUCAAACUGGAUGCACAUGGCCGAACAAAUUAGUUUUCAGGAUUUUUCUACAUGUAUCAUCAAUGAAAUUGUAUCCAGAGAAUUACUGCCAUCGAGCACCAUGUUCAAGUGAAUCUUGUCAUUGGAUGCUUGCUGAAGCAUCACCAGCAGCAGCUACUAAAUCUAUAAGUUGAGUAUCAAUUAACUGGCCAAAAGCAGUGUUUUGAACUGAGGUGCCUUUUUCUGUUCAUCUUACACCACAUGCCAUCAUAAUCUAUUUGGCAGGAGAGCAUCAUACAGUUUGGUGUGGAAAGUUAAGGACUAACAAACUAUUCAAAUGGAUAUCCAGUGGUCACUUGAUCUUUUCUUAUCAAUUGCUGCAGGACCAUUGUUAGUAAUUGCUGAUGGGUGGUUCCAGUGAUUUGGAUUCACAACCAUCACUGUGAAACAAAUAGCAGUUGUAAUGUGCAAGCACAUUUGUUUGGCAGCCUCUAUGCCAUGGCUAGUAGUUGUGCUCAUAGGACCAUGAUUUGUCUUAAUUAUGACAUCGUAGGUAAGCUUCAAAGUAGAGGUGGAUCUUGUCUGUUGAAUCUCAGAUGUGCAGUUUGGAGCUUUUUAAUUUGGUGGAACCAUUUGCUGUGCAGAUAGCUGCUAACAGAUUAAAAAAUGUUAAAGGAUUAUGUUGGUGAUAGAUGAUCUGACAGAGUAAUUGGUAUGUGCAAAAGCUUCUUAAAAGGAAAUCCUGUACCAUGAGACAUUCAAAUUAUAGUGGUUCCUACAAGACAAAUGGUGCUCUCUUCAUCCAACCGGGAGGAACUGGAAAUCAGAUUAUCCUGCAACACUGGGCAUUUUUAUGUUUUGUACAAGUUCUUGGGAACAUCAGUCUGUGUGGAUAAUUAUCAAGAGCCUUUCCUGAUACAUUGGACUUCCCCACAGAUAUCACCACCAACACAUGCUAUAUACACCAGAAACAAAGUAUGCCAGAUGCACACAUUUUUCAUGCAUACAAUUUUACAGUAUAUCUCACAUAAUUUUGCAGGUACCAUCCAAUAACUUCAACUGAACUUUCAUACGUAUUAGCUUGUGGUGGAUGCUAUUCAUAAAACUGAAUCAUUAUGUGCAUGCCUGAUUUAUGGUUCACUUGUGUUAUUUAUCAUCAUCUUGAACAUCAACAUGUUCUACUCCCUUUGCCCAUUCUACUUUCUUGACAUGGUCUCUCAUUGUUGACGGAUUUUUUUUUUCCCUGAAGUCAAUUUUAUGGGCAUACUGUGGGCAUAUUAUUGUGGGCAUAGUAGUCUACAGGAGAUACAAUCAGGGUCCAUAGGAAGGCUUUUUAGCCAUUACUGUGGGCAUAUUCGUCAACAGGAGACACAAGGAUUUCAUUUUGUUGCUUGUUGAUCCUUUGUUUCACAACAAUUGAUUUUUUAGCUUGUUUGACUCUGCUGUCAAGUCACAUGCUACAAGCAGUAUUGAUCUGUGCCUUUUAAUAUCUAAAUAGUUAACCGGAUUGAUAUUAGGCUUGUUAGGAGCGUCUGAGACCCUUGGUUUUGUUCGCUGGUGGGCCACCUGUUUUUUCUUUUCUAACAUAAUCUCUGGUUUCUUUUGUAUUUAAUUUUCAAUAGCUGGAAAAACACGACCAAGCUGACCUAACUGAACUGGAAUGUCCAUCUCAGUCGAGGUUGCACAUUUACUGGUCAGGUUUCGAGCUGUUACCAUAUUGGUAGUGUAUAUGGUGUAUAGCUGGGUUUAUUCAGAUAACUCAUGAUGAAGCCAAAACAUUUUCGUGUUUUUUGGGUCAAAAUAGUAUUCUUUACUCUCUCAUAAGCUUCAUAAAAAAACUGCACAAUCGUUCCUUGGCAUUAAAUAUAUUAGUAAAAGUGCUAAUAUUUUGGGCGGAAAUGGGGAGAAUAGGAAGUGCUGAACAUAGGAAAAAGGAAGAAAUAGGAAGUUAUGAACAUGAGAGAGAGAGGGUAGAAUUUGGUGAAGAAGAGAAGAGGGGGAAAAGGCCCGAUCCCGUCUACUCAUCUUAUUUCUCUGGUCCCGGCAUCAUUUGAUCUAUAUAACCUCCGAGUAUAGCACAUCAUUUGGUCUAUUCAGCUCUGUUCUGAGAGUCCAAGUUAGGUCUAGAGAGAGAGAGAGAGAGAGAGAGAGAGUAGAAUUUGGUGAAGAGAAGAGGAGGAAAACGCCCGAUCCCGUCUACUCAUAUUUCUCUGGUCCAGACAUCAUUUGGUCUAUAUAACGUCCGCGUGUAGCACAUCAUUUGUUCUAUUCAGCUCUGUUCUGAGAGUGCAAGUUAGGUCUCACGUGCACGUCAAUUCGGUGCACGUGUCUUCUGUAGUCUUUUGAUUUGGGGGCUCAUCUGCGACCAUCUGAACUAGUUUUCUCAUGUCAUUCAUUCGGUGCACCGAUCGUUGGAGGGUAAAUGGUCAGUUUCUGUAAAUUUGAAAGCAAUCAGCUUCUACUGAAACAUAUAGAUCAGAAGAAAAAGCAAAAACACUUCAUUACUCUGUAUUAGUUUCGGUUAUCCAAACGACAUGUAUACUGUACAGUGUAGAACACACAGAAAUAUAAUAUGCUCAAAGGGAUUAAACAGCAUUACCGAGACUUCACCUCAAGAGCCCGCAUCAUGCCGUCAAGUACUUCUUUUCACAGCCAUCCGUGUCGCCGUAACCAUCGCUGUCGAAGACGAACAGUGCGCAGAAGCCGCCGGAGACAGUGAACCCCGCCAUGCACCAGACGAUGACCGCCACGGCCGGUGGCAUGACGGCGGCCACGCGGUAGCUGAACAUGGCUACGAGCAAAGCUGAGAGGCACCACACCGCCUUCUUGAGGUUCUUCCUCAUCUGGACUGCCGCCUCGGGGGUUCUCUCGAAGAGGCGGAGGCAGUAGAAGAGCGAGAUCAAGUCCGCGUACGAUGCGACGACGAAGGCGGCAUUCCCGGGGUCGUCCGUGGAUCGGUACAAGGCCAGCAGGAAGUUGUAGGUGAGGAUAGCGAGCACCAACACCCGCAUCCACGGGAAGCCGCCGUGCUCCCCAAGAUUGUCUGCCUCGGCAGCAAGUAAGCCGGCGGCGCCUCCAUCGCCCUCGGUGCGUAUAGGAUCGUUGCUGGCGCCUGUUGCUGUCGACAUGAAACAGAGCAAAAAAGAGA